UCCACUGAGAUUCAGCCCUU
This 20-nucleotide small nuclear RNA is filed under the name Arabidopsis thaliana (thale cress). RNAcentral describes it as "snRNA_02322". The record is from RNAcentral. Lineage: Eukaryota; Viridiplantae; Streptophyta; Magnoliopsida; Brassicales; Brassicaceae.